UCAGCCCAAUUCCAAUACAAAGAAACCCCAAAAUACUAAGCCCAUUCCCUUUUCAAAAUAUAGAACAAAACCGACCCAACCGACCCCUAUACGUUUCAUUCUUCUUCUUCUUCUUCCAGCAGGAAACAAACCCAGAAGCAGUCCAGCAGCAGCAUAGUCAGUCCAGAUUCUCGACUCGAAUUGCGAGACUAAACCCAGAAAAGCAGGCAGCCGCGUGUCGCCAUCUCCUUGAAUGUUCGUCAUUGCUCAAAAUUUUGCGGUUCUCAUUGAUUUACCGUUUGAAUUUGUACUAUUGGACAACUUUCAAACUUAUCCUUUAAGAGGCUUUUGAAUUUCAAAUUGGAAGGGAUCCAAAAAAAAAUCUACAUGUUUUUCCCCCUCCCGAAAUCUGCCCGGGUACUCAUCUAAAUAGACAAUUUUCUUUGUUGUUAAACGGGGGGAGGGGUUUAAAAAAAAAUUCAGGAAAAAAUUUAUUUAGGAAAAAAAUCACACAGCAAAAAGAAUUGUAGCAUAUAGUAAAAAUACAUUUUAAAAGAGAGGAAGAAGAGUUAGUUUUAAUCCGAGUAUUACUCUUCUAGCUUGAUCACCGAUGUUUGCCUAAGCUAGUCCGAUUUUGAGUUUUUAUUUCUAUUCGGUUCGUGUGGUGGAUGGUUCGUCUCACUCGUGGCUAUCUCAGUCCGCUGCUUCGAGAAAGAUCCACAAAGGCUCAAGUUUCUUCCAUUGAAGAGCAAUUCCCUAAAAAUCGACGCACAGGUCCCGAAGCGGAAGAAGUUGAAGAGAUUGGGCCUUAAAAGACCAAAUUCAUUCGAAAGAUUGUAUUUUGGGCAUAUGCCCUUGUAGUUUCUUUUUUUUAUUUACUAUUGUAUGUUUAGUCUACGAUAAGUACAAAAAACAAAUGGGUCAAAAACCCAAAGACAGGUGGGUCCAAAUACCGGUCAAGGCGAACAGAAAACCCGGAUUUCGACCCAAAUCUAUCUCCCUCUCUUUCUUUACUUGCUUUUUAUUAA
Long non-coding RNA from Solanum pennellii, 1007 nucleotides. RefSeq lists it as uncharacterized. The record is from RefSeq and is a predicted model, not a curated record. Lineage: Eukaryota; Viridiplantae; Streptophyta; Magnoliopsida; Solanales; Solanaceae. The transcript has 2 exons.